GGAAGUAAAAGUCGUAACAAGGUCUCCGUUGGUGAACCAGCGGAGGGAUCAUUACCGAGUUUACAACUCCCAAACCCCUGUGAACUUAUACCUUUACUGUUGCUUCGGCGGGUCAUUGCCCCGGGGAAACAGGCGGCCGUCAGGUCCCUGCCCACCCGGAAACAGGCGCCCGCCGGGGGACUCAAACUCUUCUGUAUUUUUUUGUUUACUGUAUACUGUCUGAGUAAAAAUUCAUAAUGAAUCAAAACUUUCAACAACGGAUCUCUUGGUUCUG
RNAcentral lists this unclassified non-coding RNA (274 nucleotides) under plant metagenome. RNAcentral's name for it is "partial contains small subunit ribosomal RNA, internal transcribed spacer 1, and 5.8S ribosomal RNA". The stretch from base 1 to 54 matches the Rfam family "Eukaryotic small subunit ribosomal RNA", at positions 1778 to 1831 of the family's 1831-position model. The record is from RNAcentral.